GAUGAACGCUGGCGGCGUGCUUAACACAUGCAAGUCGAACGAUGAAGCCCAGCUUGCUGGGUGGAUUAGUGGCGAACGGGUGAGUAACACGUGAGUAACCUGCCCUUAACUCUGGGAUAAGCCUGGGAAACUGGGUCUAAUACCGGAUAGGAGCGCCUACCGCAUGGUGGGUGUUGGAAAGAUUUAUCGGUUUUGGAUGGACUCGCGGCCUAUCAGCUUGUCGGUGGGGUAAUGGCUCACCAAGGCGGCGACGGGUAGCCGGCCGGAGAGGGGGACCGGCCACAGGGGGACGGAGAUAGGGCGGAGAGGCCGACGGGAGGGGGAAGGGGGGGAGGGGGCGGAAGGGGGGGGAGUGUGGUGGGGCAGAGAGGAGGGAGGGAGGACGGCCGUGGGGAUGGAAACAGGGAGCGGCGGGGAAGAAGGGGGAGGGAGGGGAAGGGGUAAAGAAGCACCGGAAAACUAAGUG
Molecule: ribosomal RNA, 466 nt
Filed under: uncultured bacterium
Lineage: Bacteria
Description: partial 16S ribosomal RNA
Rfam family: Bacterial small subunit ribosomal RNA (bases 20-330)
Source: RNAcentral